Molecule: ribosomal RNA, 253 nt
Filed under: uncultured bacterium
Lineage: Bacteria
Description: partial 16S ribosomal RNA
Rfam family: Bacterial small subunit ribosomal RNA
Source: RNAcentral
UACGUAGGGUGCGAGCGUUGUCCGGAAUUACUGGGCGUAAAGGGCUCGUAGGCGGCCAACUAAGUCGGACGUGAAAUCCCUCGGCUUAACCGGGGAACUGCGUCCGAUACUGGAUGGCUUGAGUUUGGGAGAGGGAUGCGGAAUUCCAGGUGUAGCGGUGAAAUGCGUAGAUAUCUGGAGGAACACCGGUGGCGAAGGCGGCAUCCUGGACCAACACUGACGCUGAGGAGCGAAAGCCAGGGGAGCAAACGGG